GUACACUCCUGCGGGAGGCAGCAGUGGGGAAUUUUGGACAAUGGGCGAAAGCCUGAUCCAGCAAUGCCGCGUGAGUGAAGAAGGCCUUCGGGUUGUAAAGCUCUUUUGUCAGGGAAGAAACGGUGAAAGCUAAUAUCUUUUGCUAAUGACGGUACCUGAAGAAUAAGCACCGGCUAACUACGUGCCAGCAGCCGCGGUAAUACGUAGGGUGCAAGCGUUAAUCGGAAUUACUGGGCGUAAAGCGUGCGCAGGCGGUUUUGUAAGUCUGAUGUGAAAUCCCCGGGCUCAACCUGGGAAUUGCAUUGGAGACUGCAAGGCUAGAAUCUGGCAGAGGGGGGUAGAAUUCCACGUGUAGCAGUGAAAUGCGUAGAUAUGUGGAGGAACACCGAUGGCGAAGGCAGCCCCCUGGGUCAAGAUUGACGCUCAUGCACGAAAGCGUGGGGAGCAAACAGGAUUAGAUACCCUGGUAGUCCCAUG
Molecule: ribosomal RNA, 477 nt
Filed under: uncultured organism
Description: partial 16S ribosomal RNA
Rfam family: Bacterial small subunit ribosomal RNA
Source: RNAcentral